UAUACACAUUCGAAUAUGAAGGUUUUUACAUCAAACACACGCUUAUUAUAAACGCCAUCUUCGGCCCUCUCUCCACACUUUUACACACUCUCUCUCUCUCUCUGCUUAGAUUCUGCUGAACAAACGAUGGCUGACCCGGAACUAGAAGCUCUCAGGCAAAGAAGAAUGCAGGAACUAAUGGCCAAACAAGGCGGUGGAAGUCAGCAAAAUCCUGAUCAGCAGAAGGCUCAGGAAGAAGCCAAAAGUGAGGCAGAUGAGCGAAGGCAAAUGAUGCUCAGUCAGAUAUUGACAUCUCAAGCACGUGAAAGAAUUGCUCGGAUUGCUUUAGUGAAGCCUGAGAAGGCUCGAGGAGUUGAAGAUGUUAUACUAAGGGCUGCCCAAAUGGGUCAAAUUGUUGAGAAGGUUUCUGAAGAGAGGCUCAUAUCAUUGUUGGAGCAAAUUAACACCCAAACAACCAAACAGACCAAAGUUACAAUUCAGAGGCGUCGGAGUGUGCUUGACGAUGAUGAUUAGGCUAUUUCAUGUAAAUUUGUUGCGUAUGUUUACAUGCACUGAAUACUCAAUUUGUGACAGGGUCAUUUCUAAACACCUCUUAAGAUCUUAAUAUUCAAGUAGAUACAUGUUUUUUUAUUUCUUGGUCUCAAGAGUGGAGGAUGUUAAGAAGCCAGUGAACCCAUUCGUGGUCCUUGCACGCUUUUUCAUUGGUGCACUACGUCCUAGUCCCUGUUUACAUGUGGCUCAAGGACCAAAUAGUUCCAAGGUCAUGAGGUUAUAUGGUGUAUUAUGAUUUGUUAAUGGUUGUUUACAUUGGUUGUUGGUAUCUGGUCUUUACUGGCAAACCCUUGAGGUUAGGUUAUAUGGUGCAUUAUGGUUUGAUGUUAUGGAGGAAUAGGGUUGAUUGAUCCUCCAAACGCAACUCUAUUAAGAACGUUAAGUGAUAAGUUGAUUGACCCUAAUGGUGAAGUUAGACUAUUUUUAAGUCA
RNA transcript from Erigeron canadensis, 983 nucleotides. It is a transcript of the gene named DNA-binding protein DDB_G0278111, with no coding region annotated. The transcript has 9 exons. The record is from RefSeq and is a predicted model, not a curated record. Lineage: Eukaryota; Viridiplantae; Streptophyta; Magnoliopsida; Asterales; Asteraceae.